This is a small nucleolar RNA of Stegostoma tigrinum, 72 nucleotides long. The record is from RefSeq and is a predicted model, not a curated record. Lineage: Eukaryota; Metazoa; Chordata; Chondrichthyes; Orectolobiformes; Stegostomatidae.
GGUGCAGAUGAUGUCUUUUAGCGAUCAAAGCAUGAGAAUUUAUGAUUAUCACAAUUUUUGUACUGAUGCACC